GGGUUGUGAGGUUAAGCGACUAAGCGUACACGGUGGAUGCCCUGGCAGUCAGAGGCGAUGAAGGACGUGCUAAUCUGCGAUAAGCGCCGGUAAGGUGAUAUGAACCGUUAUAACCGGCGAUUUCCGAAUGGGGAAACCCAGUGUGACUCGUCACACUAUCAUUAACUGAAUCCAUAGGUUAAUGAGGCGAACCGGGGGAACUGAAACAUCUAAGUACCCCGAGGAAAAGAAAUCAACCGAGAUUCCCCCAGUAGCGGCGAGCGAACGGGGAGGAGCCCAGAGCCUGAAUCAGCAUGUGUGUUAGUGGAAGCGUCUGGAAAGGCGCGCGAUACAGGGUGACAGCCCCGUACACAAAAGCGCAUGUGCUGUGAGCUCGAUGAGUAGGGCGGGACACGUGGUAUCCUGUCUGAAUAUGGGGGGACCAUCCUCCAAGGCUAAAUACUCCUGACUGACCGAUAGUGAACCAGUACCGUGAGGGAAAGGCGAAAAGAACCCCGGCGAGGGGAGUGAAAAAGAACCUGAAACCGUGUACGUACAAGCAGUGGGAGCACCCUUUGGGGUGUGACUGCGUACCUUUUGUAUAAUGGGUCAGCGACUUAUAUUCUGUAGCAAGGUUAACCGAAUAGGGGAGCCGGAGGGAAACCGAGUCUUAAUUGGGCGUUAAGUUGCAGGGUAUAGACCCGAAACCCGGUGAUCUAGCCAUGGGCAGGUUGAAGGUUGGGUAACACUAACUGGAGGACCGAACCGACUAAUGUUGAAAAAUUAGCGGAUGACCUGUGGCUGGGGGUGAAAGGCCAAUCAAACCGGGAGAUAGCUGGUUCUCCCCGAAAGCUAUUUAGGUAGCGCCUCGUGAAUUCAUCUCCGGGGGUAGAGCACUGUUUCGGCUAGGGGGCCAUCCCGGCUUACCAACCCGAUGCAAACUGCGAAUACCGGAGAAUGUUAUCACGGGAGACACACGGCGGGUGCUAACGUCCGUCGUGAAGAGGGAAACAACCCAGACCGCCAGCUAAGGUCCCAAAGUCAUGGUUAAGUGGGAAACGAUGUGGGAAGGCCCAGACAGCCAGGAUGUUGGCUUAGAAGCAGCCAUCAUUUAAAGAAAGCGUAAUAGCUCACUGGUCGAGUCGGCCUGCGCGGAAGAUGUAACGGGGCUAAACCAUGCACCGAAGCUGCGGCAGCGACGCUGAUGCGUUGUUGGGUAGGGGAGCGUUCUGUAAGCCUGCGAAGGUGGCCUGUGAGGGUUGCUGGAGGUAUCAGAAGUGCGAAUGCUGACAUAAGUAACGAUAAAGCGGGUGAAAAGCCCGCUCGCCGGAAGACCAAGGGUUCCUGUCCAACGUUAAUCGGGGCAGGGUGAGUCGACCCCUAAGGCGAGGCCGAAAGGCGUAGUCGAUGGGAAACGGGUUAAUAUUCCCGUACUUGGUGUUACUGCGAAGGGGGGACGGAGAAGGCUAUGUUGGCCGGGCGACGGUUGUCCCGGUUUAAGCGUGUAGGUGUGUGUUCCAGGUAAAUCCGGUUCACUUUAACACUGAGGCGUGAUGACGAGGCACUACGGUGCUGAAGCAACAAAUGCCCUGCUUCCGGGAAAGCCUCUAAGCAUCAGGUAACAUCAAAUCGUACCCCAAACCGACACAGGUGGUCAGGUAGAGAAUACCAAGGCGCUUGAGAGAACUCGGGUGAAGGAACUAGGCAAAAUGGUGCCGUAACUUCGGGAGAAGGCACGCUGACACGUAGGUGAAGUGAUUUACUCAUGGAGCUGAAGUCAGUCGAAGAUACCAGCUGGCUGCAACUGUUUAUUAAAACACAGCACUGUGCAAACACGAAAGUGGACGUAUACGGUGUGACGCCUGCCCGGUGCCGGAAGGUUAAUUGAUGGGGUCAGCGCAAGCGAAGCUCCUGAUCGAAGCCCCGGUAAACGGCGGCCGUAACUAUAACGGUCCUAAGGUAGCGAAAUUCCUUGUCGGGUAAGUUCCGACCUGCACGAAUGGCGUAAUGAUGGCCAGGCUGUCUCCACCCGAGACUCAGUGAAAUUGAACUCGCUGUGAAGAUGCAGUGUACCCGCGGCAAGACGGAAAGACCCCGUGAACCUUUACUAUAGCUUGACACUGAACAUUGAGCCUUGAUGUGUAGGAUAGGUGGGAGGCUUUGAAGUGUGGACGCCAGUCUGCAUGGAGCCGACCUUGAAAUACCACCCUUUAAUGUUUGAUGUUCUAACGUGGACCCGUUACCCGGGUUGCGGACAGUGUCUGGUGGGUAGUUUGACUGGGGCGGUCUCCUCCUAAAGAGUAACGGAGGAGCACGAAGGUUGGCUAAUCCUGGUCGGACAUCAGGAGGUUAGUGCAAUGGCAUAAGCCAGCUUGACUGCGAGCGUGACGGCGCGAGCAGGUGCGAAAGCAGGUCAUAGUGAUCCGGUGGUUCUGAAUGGAAGGGCCAUCGCUCAACGGAUAAAAGGUACUCCGGGAUAACAGGCUGAUACCGCCCAAGAGUUCAUAUCGACGGCGGUGUUUGGCACCUCGAUGUCGGCUCAUCACAUCCUGGGGCUGAAGUAGGUCCCAAGGGUAUGGCUGUUCGCCAUUUAAAGUGGUACGCGAGCUGGGUUUAGAACGUCGUGAGACAGUUCGGUCCCUAUCUGCCGUGGGCGCUGGAGAACUGAGGGGGGCUGCUCCUAGUACGAGAGGACCGGAGUGGACGCAUCACUGGUGUUCGGGUUGUCAUGCCAAUGGCACUGCCCGGUAGCUAAAUGCGGAAGAGAUAAGUGCUGAAAGCAUCUAAGCACGAAACUUGCCCCGAGAUGAGUUCUCCCUGAGACUUAAAGUCUCCUGAAGGAACGUUGAAGACGACGACGUUGAUAGGCCGGGUGUGUAAGCGCAGCGAUGCGUUGAGCUAACCGGUACUAAUGAACCGUGAGGCUUAACCUUACAACGCCGAAG
Molecule: ribosomal RNA, 2924 nt
Filed under: Salmonella enterica
Lineage: Bacteria; Pseudomonadati; Pseudomonadota; Gammaproteobacteria; Enterobacterales; Enterobacteriaceae
Description: bacterial LSU rRNA
Rfam family: Bacterial large subunit ribosomal RNA
Source: RNAcentral